Molecule: ribosomal RNA, 381 nt
Filed under: uncultured Pseudomonas sp.
Lineage: Bacteria; Pseudomonadati; Pseudomonadota; Gammaproteobacteria; Pseudomonadales; Pseudomonadaceae
Description: bacterial SSU rRNA
Rfam family: Bacterial small subunit ribosomal RNA
Source: RNAcentral
AGAGAUGGAUUUCUUCAGCUCGGCUGGCGUCCACACAGGUGCUGCAUGGCUGUCGUCAGCUCGUGUCGUGAGAUGUUGGGUUAAGUCCCGCAACGAGCGCAACCCUCGCCUUCAGUUGCCAUCAUUCAGUUGGGCACUCUGAAGGAACUGCCGGUGACAAGCCGGAGGAAGGUGGGGAUGACGUCAAGUCCUCAUGGCCCUUACGGCCUGGGCUACACACGUGCUACAAUGGUCGGUACAAAGGGUUGCCAAGCCGCGAGGUGGAGCUAAUCCCAUAAAACCGAUCGUAGUCCGGAUCGCAGUCUGCAACUCGACUGCGUGAAGUCGGAAUCGCUAGUAAUCGUGAAUCAGAAUGUCACGGUGAAUACGUUCCCGGGCCUU